This 475-nucleotide ribosomal RNA is filed under the name uncultured bacterium. RNAcentral's name for it is "bacterial SSU rRNA". It matches the Rfam family "Bacterial small subunit ribosomal RNA", at positions 335 to 798 of the family's 1533-position model. The record is from RNAcentral.
ACUCCUACGGGAGGCAGCAGUGGGGAAUAUUGCACAAUGGGGGAAACCCUGAUGCAGCCAUGCCGCGUGUGUGAAGAAGGCCUUCGGGUUGUAAAGCACUUUCAGUAGGGAGGAAGGUAGUGUAGUUAACACCUGCGCAUUAUUUGACGUUACCUACAGAAGAAAGCACCGGCUAACUCCGUGCCAGCAGCCGCGGUAAUACGGAGGGUGCGAGCGUUAAUCGGAAUUACUGGGCGUAAAGCGCAUGCAGGCGGCCUGUUAAGUCAGAUGUGAAAGCCCGGGGCUUAACCUCGGAAUUUGCAUUUGAAACUGGCAGGCUAGAGUCUUGUAGAGGGGGGUAGAAUUUCAGGUGUAGCGGUGAAAUGCGUAGAGAUCUGAAGGAAUACCAGUGGCGAAGGCGGCCCCCUGGACAAAGACUGACGCUCAGAUGCGAAAGCGUGGGGAGCAAACAGGAUUAGAUACCCUGGUAGGAUAG